Molecule: non-coding RNA, 71 nt
Organism: Pangasius djambal
Lineage: Eukaryota; Metazoa; Chordata; Actinopteri; Siluriformes; Pangasiidae
Source: the annotation of a GenBank genome assembly
UCCCUGAAGGACUAGUGGUUAGGCCUCGAUACUCUCACCACGGGGCCCGGGUUCAAUUCCCAGCCAGGCAA